Molecule: ribosomal RNA, 429 nt
Filed under: Bacteroidota bacterium
Lineage: Bacteria; Pseudomonadati; Bacteroidota
Description: Bacteroidetes bacterium partial 16S ribosomal RNA
Rfam family: Bacterial small subunit ribosomal RNA
Source: RNAcentral
UAGGGAAUCUUCGGCAAUGGGGGGAACCCUGACCGAGCAACGCCGCGUGAGUGAAGAAGGUUUUCGGAUCGUAAGGCUCUGUUGUUAAGGAAGAACGAGUGUGAGAAUGGAAAGUUCAUACUGUGACGGUACUUAACCAGAAAGGGACGGCUAACUACGUGCCAGCAGCCGCGGUAAUACGUAGGUCCCGAGCGUUGUCCGGAUUUAUUGGGCGUAAAGCGAGCGCAGGCGGUUAGAUAAGUCUGAAGUUAAAGGCAGUGGCUCAACCAUUGUAGGCUUUGGAAACUGUUUAACUUGAGUGCAGAAGGGGAGAGUGGAAUUCCAUGUGUAGCGGUGAAAUGCGUAGAUAUAUGGAGGAACACCGGUGGCGAAAGCGGCUCUCUGGUCUGUAACUGACGCUGAGGCUCGAAAGCGUGGGGAGCGAACAGG